GGAUUUGUUUCUGAUGUUGAUAUGAGGGACAAGCUUACAACAUUUAUUCUCAAGAGCCCACCUGAGCCGAAAAAGGGCUCCAAAGACAAGAAGGCAAUGAGGAGGGCCGAGAAGGAACGGCUUAAGGAGGGUGAGGUUGCUGAUGAGGAGCAGAAGAAGCACAAAAAGGAGACAACAAAGAAGAAAGGCUCUUCUGGUAGUUCUAAGGAUGCUCCUAAAGGCAUAUCAACGAGGAAAAAAGGCAAUGUCUCUGAUGAGGAUCACUCGCCAGCUCGCAGCCAAGCUGAUGAAAAUGAACAAGUGAUUGCUAAUGAUGAUGAUGAUGAUGAUGACGACGACAAUGUCCAGUGGCAAACAAAUACUUCUUUGGAGGCAGCUAAACAACGC
Molecule: unclassified non-coding RNA, 387 nt
Filed under: Hevea brasiliensis (rubber tree)
Lineage: Eukaryota; Viridiplantae; Streptophyta; Magnoliopsida; Malpighiales; Euphorbiaceae
Source: RNAcentral